UGGGGAAUUUUGCACAAUGGGGGGAAACCCUGAUGCAGCGACGCCGCGUGAUUUAGAAGGCCUUCGGGUUGUAAAAAUCUUUUGUAUGGGAAGAAAAUGACAGUACCAUACGAAUAAGGACCGGCUAAUUACGUGCCAGCAGCCGCGGUAAUACGUAAGGUCCGAGCGUUGUCCGGAAUCAUUGGGCGUAAAGGGUACGUAGGCGGAUAAGCAAGUUAGAAGUGAAAUCCUAUAGCUCAACUAUAGUAAGCUUUUAAAACUGCUCAUCUUGAGGUAUGGAAGGGAAAGUGGAAUUCCUAGUGUAGCGGUGAAAUGCGCAGAUAUUAGGAGGAAUACCGGUGGCGAAGGCGACUUUCUGGCCAUAUACUGACGCUGAGGUACGAAAGCGUGGGUAGCAAACAGG
RNAcentral lists this ribosomal RNA (403 nucleotides) under Verrucomicrobiota bacterium. Its description in RNAcentral is "Verrucomicrobia bacterium partial 16S ribosomal RNA". It matches the Rfam family "Bacterial small subunit ribosomal RNA", at positions 355 to 776 of the family's 1533-position model. Lineage: Bacteria; Pseudomonadati; Verrucomicrobiota. The record is from RNAcentral.